Molecule: ribosomal RNA, 496 nt
Filed under: uncultured bacterium
Lineage: Bacteria
Description: partial 16S ribosomal RNA
Rfam family: Bacterial small subunit ribosomal RNA
Source: RNAcentral
GAUGAACGCUGGCGGCGUGCCUAAUACAUGCAAGUCGAGCGAACGGACGAGAAGCUUGCUUUUCUGAUGUUAGCGGCGGACGGGUGAGUAACACGUGGAUAACCUACCUAUAAGACUGGGAUAACUUCGGGAAACCGGAGCUAAUACCGGAUAAUAUUUUGAACCGCAUGGUUCAAAAGUGAAAGACGGUCUUGCUGUCACUUAUAGAUGGAUCCGCGCUGCAUUAGCUAGUUGGUAAGGUAACGGCUUACCAAGGCAACGAUGCAUGGCCGACCUGAGAGGGUGAUCGGCCACACUGGAACUGAGACACGGUCCAGACUCCUACGGGAGGCAGCAGUAGGGAAUCUUCCGCAAUGGGCGAAAGCCUGACGGAGCAACGCCGCGUGAGUGAUGAAGGUCUUCGGAUCGUAAAACUCUGUUAUUAGGGAAGAACAUAUGUGUAAGUAACUGUGCACAUCUUGACGGUACCUAAUCAGAAAGCCACGGCUAACUACGU